UGGGGUGCUCGAGUGGCGAACGGGUGAGUAACACGUAAGUGAUCUGCCCUGCACUGGGGGAUAAGCUUGGGAAACUGGGUCUAAUACCCUAUAGGACCGCAUCGUGGUUGGUGUGGUGGAAAGGUUUUUCUGGUGUGGGAUGAGCUUGCGGCCUAUCAGCUUGUUGGUGGGGUAAUGGCCUACCAAGGCGGCGACGGGUAGCCGGCCUGAGAGGGUGUGCGGCCACAUUGGGACUGAGAUACGGCCCAGACUCC
RNAcentral lists this ribosomal RNA (254 nucleotides) under uncultured bacterium. RNAcentral's name for it is "partial 16S ribosomal RNA". It matches the Rfam family "Bacterial small subunit ribosomal RNA", at positions 83 to 339 of the family's 1533-position model. The record is from RNAcentral.